RNAcentral lists this ribosomal RNA (719 nucleotides) under uncultured bacterium. RNAcentral's name for it is "bacterial SSU rRNA". It matches the Rfam family "Bacterial small subunit ribosomal RNA", at positions 136 to 851 of the family's 1533-position model. The record is from RNAcentral.
CAGGAGGACAACCCGCCGAAAGGCGGGCUAAACCCGCGUACAUGCCACCGGGGCAUCCCGGAGGCAGGAAAGGCUUCGGCCGGACAGGGAUGGGCAUGCGGCGCAUUAGGCAGUAGGCGGGGUAACGGCCCACCUAACCGACGAUGCGUAGGGGUUCUGAGAGGAAGGUCCCCCACACUGGUACUGAGACACGGACCAGACUCCUACGGGAGGCAGCAGUGAGGAAUAUUGGUCAAUGGUCGGGAGACUGAACCAGCCAAGCCGCGUGAGGGAUGAAGGUACAGAGUAUCGUAAACCUCUUUUGUCAGGGAACAAAGGCGGGGACGUGUCCCCGGAUGAGUGUACCUGAAGAAAAAGCAUCGGCUAACUCCGUGCCAGCAGCCGCGGUAAUACGGAGGAUGCGAGCGUUAUCCGGAUUAAUUGGGUUUAAAGGGUGCGCAGGCGGUCUGUUAAGUCAGCGGUCAAAGCCCGGGGCUCAACCCCGGCCCGCCGUUGAAACUGGCAGUCUCGAGUUGGAGAGAAGUAUGCGGAAUGCGCGGUGUAGCGGUGAAAUGCAUAGAUAUCGCGCAGAACUCCGAUUGCGAAGGCAGCAUGCCGGCUCCACACUGACGCUGAGGCACGAAAGCGUGGGUAUCGAACAGGAUUAGAUACCCUGGUAGUCCACGCAGUAAACGAUGAAUGCAGGCUGUCCGGGGGGGAUUGACCCCUGGGUGGCGAAG